GUCAGGUUAGGCAAACGGUUAAGCCACAGCCCUCUCAAGGCUGCAUUUGCGGGUUCGAAUCCCGUACCUGAUACCA
Molecule: transfer RNA, 76 nt
Filed under: Massilicoli timonensis
Lineage: Bacteria; Bacillati; Bacillota; Erysipelotrichia; Erysipelotrichales; Erysipelotrichaceae
Also listed under: 1 other name
Description: tRNA-Glu
Rfam family: tRNA
About the family: Transfer RNA (tRNA) molecules are approximately 80 nucleotides in length. Their secondary structure includes four short double-helical elements and three loops (D, anti-codon, and T loops). Further hydrogen bonds mediate the characteristic L-shaped molecular structure. tRNAs have two regions of fundamental functional importance: the anti-codon, which is responsible for specific mRNA codon recognition, and the 3' end, to which the tRNAs corresponding amino acid is attached (by aminoacyl-tRNA synthetases). tRNAs cope with the degeneracy of the genetic code in two manners: having more than one tRNA (with a specific anti-codon) for a particular amino acid; and 'wobble' base-pairing, i.e. permitting non-standard base-pairing at the 3rd anti-codon position.
Source: RNAcentral